Pelobates cultripes (western spadefoot toad) is the source of this 735-nucleotide non-coding RNA. The record is from the annotation of a GenBank genome assembly. Lineage: Eukaryota; Metazoa; Chordata; Amphibia; Anura; Pelobatidae.
GUCUGCCUUGCGUUCCCCAACUUACAUAUUGCUCUUUGCACCCAUUCCCUCACAUCGUGAGCUUCUAGAGGUGAGUCUUGUGUGGGGUCAGGUCCGCAAAGUAUAGAAUUUUUUCCCCGGGCUGAUCAUAUCCAGUAUUUAACUCAUUUUGAGUCCUCCUCCUACACACUGAUCGGGACAUACAUAUCACCACGAGCUCCAUAGUGAGGACUAUCUUGUUCGGACAUAGAGGGCGUGGGCAUUCCAUCCUGAGCCGGUCUCGGAUUUCUUUUCCCAUAGGCCUCCUAAGCCAGAAGUGGGCCCGGUGCUCCAGUUAACCCCAUUCGGAUGACCCUGGUUGUCGGAUGGUGUGUGAGUCAAAACAGGAGUGUCCAGUGUGCCAAAGAAAAAACCUUUCUUGCUAGGCGUGUCUUGUCACUUUUACCUCUUCUGCCCUCCAUUCUUUCAUGAUCUCCAGAGAAGGGGGGGGAGGAUGAAGUCCUCGUCCCCUGAUGAUGGGUGUCCGACCUAACGUCGGUAUCUCAAUCUUCCAUUGCUGUUGCUGCCGUUGCACCCGCUCUGUCGGAUGGGUUGUUAGCCAGCAUACUGGAGAGGACUUCUUCCCCCGGAGCUGUCAUGGCAGCCUUAAUCCUCGCCUGAAAAUCGGUCGGGGAUAUUGAGGUAAGUCCGACAUGUUGGUUCACACCCUUUCGGUCCGUGGGAGACAGGAUCAUACAACAGUACACUUAUUGCCAC